Molecule: long non-coding RNA, 456 nt
Filed under: Vigna radiata
Lineage: Eukaryota; Viridiplantae; Streptophyta; Magnoliopsida; Fabales; Fabaceae
Description: long non-coding RNA (VRAD_LNC005420)
Source: RNAcentral
GGGGUGGAAUGGGGAAAGUGAAAGGCAAAAGAAAAGAAAAAGAAAAGCAUUGAGUUCAAAAGAUGAAAAAGAAAAAUGCAUGUGAAAAAGAAAAGAAAAGAAGAAAAUAGUUUAUGCAUGUUAAAAAGAACUCAAUGUAAAGGGAAAAGUUGGGAAUGAGUGAGAUUGGUUAAAAAGAGAGUGUGCUUGAACUUUGAAUAAUGAUUUAAAUUCUCUUAACUCAAGGAUUUUGUAUUUCAGAAAAAACCAGUUUUCUUGUUAGCCCAACCACAAUACAAGCCUUGGAAAAAGUCCUUGUGAUGACAUAUGCAUGUGACAGAUGUUGAUUGUCUUAGAUGAAUUACAAUAUUGUUUUAUGUGACAUGUGAACAGUAGAGAGUAGAGUGACCUCCUAAACACUUGAGUGAUUGAGUGAAACACUUGCUUGGUGAGAAUUGUUAAAACCAUGUUUAUAUC